UUGCUUUCUGAAGUGGAUGGUUAGACGAUCUUUAACCUUCGAAGAUUGCCGGAUUGAAUGAAACGGUGAUGGAACACAGGUGAACUCAGAUCGCAAUCAUUCGCUUAUUCCCUAACUUUUGCGUGGACCGCCCUUUUGGGUUUUCAAUCCACCGGGAUACCCUUUUUUGCCUGAGCCGCCCUUUCGGGUUUUCGACUCACCGGGUGUACGUUUUUUUUGAUUUGUAUAUCCCUAAUUUUUGCCCGAAC
This 248-nucleotide long non-coding RNA is filed under the name Lathyrus oleraceus (garden pea). RNAcentral describes it as "Pisum sativum (pea) long non-coding RNA (PSAT_LNC010725)". Lineage: Eukaryota; Viridiplantae; Streptophyta; Magnoliopsida; Fabales; Fabaceae. The record is from RNAcentral.